This 444-nucleotide ribosomal RNA is filed under the name uncultured bacterium. RNAcentral describes it as "partial 16S ribosomal RNA". It matches the Rfam family "Bacterial small subunit ribosomal RNA", at positions 338 to 795 of the family's 1533-position model. The record is from RNAcentral.
CCUACGGGUAGCUGCAGUGGGGAAUAUUGGGCAAUGGAGGAAACUCUGACCCAGCAAUGCCGCGUGCCUGAAGAAGGUCUUCGGAUUGUAAAGUUCUUUAGUCAGGGAAGAAUAAAAUGACGGUACCUGAAGUAUAAGCUCCGGCUAACUACUUGCCAGCAGCCUCGGUAAUACGUAGGGAGCAAGCGUUGUUCGGAAUGACUGGGCGUAAAGGGUGCGUAGGCGGUUAUACAAGUUAGCAGUGAAAUACCCAGGGCUUAAAUCGCGUGUGGCGUUUAAAACUGUAAGACUUGAGUGCAGUAGAGGUUAGUGGAAUUCCAAGGGUAGCGGUGGAAUGCGUAGAUAUUAGGAGGAACACCAGAGGCGAAGGCAGCUAACUGGACUGCAACUGACGCUGAGGGACGAAAGUGUGGGGAGCAAACAGGAGUAGAUACCCUAGUAGUC